RNAcentral lists this ribosomal RNA (463 nucleotides) under uncultured bacterium. Its description in RNAcentral is "bacterial SSU rRNA". It matches the Rfam family "Bacterial small subunit ribosomal RNA", at positions 100 to 559 of the family's 1533-position model. The record is from RNAcentral.
AAUGCAGUACGGAACCGGUAACCCCGGAAGGGUGGGGGAAGUUAACGUAGACGAAAGUUACGCUAAUACCGCAUAUUCUGUGAGCAGAAAGCGGGGGAUCGCAAGACCUCGCGCUUCCGGAGCGGCCGAUGUCGGAUUAGCUAGUUGGCGGGGUAAAGGCCCACCAAGGCAACGAUCCGUAGCGGGUCUGAGAGGAUGAUCCGCCACACUGGGGACUGAGACACGGCCCAGACUCCUACGGGGAGGCAGCAGUGGGAAUUUUGGACAAUGGGCGCAAGCCUGAUCCAGCCAUGCCGCGUGAGUGAAGAAGGCCUUCGGGUUGUAAAGCUCUUUCGGCUGGGAAGAAAUCGCAUCUCCUAAUACGGGGUGUGGAUGACGGUACCAGCAUAAGAAGCACCGGCUAACUACGUGCCAGCAGCCGCGGUAAUACGUAGGGUGCGAGCGUUAAUCGGAAUUACUGGGC